RNAcentral lists this long non-coding RNA (5362 nucleotides) under Homo sapiens (human). RNAcentral describes it as "non-protein coding lnc-CLASP2-1:7". Lineage: Eukaryota; Metazoa; Chordata; Mammalia; Primates; Hominidae. The record is from RNAcentral.
GGGAGACGGGAAGAGGAGCGGCGAGCGACGGCUGGCAGACAACCUACCCACUCCCAGCCCCGCGCCCACCUCAGGAGCGUCUCGAGCGCGCCCUCGUGCUUGUCCAGCGGACGACCGACUGCGGCGCGGCGCAGCUUGCUGAGCUCCUCCGCCGCGCGGCAGUACUGGGCCUGCUCUUCCCCGCCGCUUGGGUAAGUCUGCUGGAUGAACUUCACCAGCGGCUUGGCCAGGUCCACCUCUGAGGUCUUUUUCAGCUGCACCGAGAUGAAUGUCGCCAUGAUCAGCGCCUCCGCCGCCGUUCGGGCCAAACAGACCGCGGACAGCUUACGAGGGCCGAGGAGAGAGAGGUACUGGGCUGGCGGACUGGCGGACUGACUGGCUGACAGACUUGCGCUCCGCCUGCGUUCCGGGUCCGGCAACUUCCGGGAGCUCCAGCGCAGGCGCACUGGAUGCGGGGUCCUUAAGCUGUCCGCGGUCACGUGAAGGUGUCGCGGCGGCUACGCCCACCUGGACCCAGUUUACCCUGUACUGUGCUGCAAAAUAUUACUUUCUCCCCAUCUGGAAUUCUUCCCUUCCUCCUUCCUGCCGCAGUGGUGUACUGAGCACUUUCACGUAAGAGUAUUCCUCCACUCGAACAACCCCCCGGAGAAGUACUGGUGUCACUGCCACCUGCGAGAGUUUGCGGCUACCUCCCCAAGAGGCAGUCCCAGGGUUAUUGUGACCUAUGAUGUUUAUUCAACUACUGUUGACGGGCUGCUGUGCACAGGGAACCUAGUAGGCAAGACCCCUGCCAUCGUGCAGCUUACUGUCAGGUUGACACAGACCUUAAGGUAAACGGAAAAAGUAUCAGGAAAAAAACAGGGUGCUUGGGACUUAGGAGAUGUUAAGAUCGCUUGGAGGACCCUAAUUUAAAUAAGAUAAAGUAGGUUUUCUCCGAGUAGGUUAACUGAAAAUGAACCUGUGUCUCUGGUUGCUGUUUUGUAGAAAGAACAAAAUUUUAAAUAAAUUAAAAACGACACCUGUAAUUUGAGAAGAUGCUUGAUAUCAGAAGAGGAGAAGAGUGGAGAGGGGUGGAGUGGCAAAGGAGAGCCUCCAAACCAAAAGCCUGCGGCAGAGGCCCUAGGAGGCAAGCACUUAACCAUGUUUCAGGACUAGAAACGAAACAUGUGACAAGACCUUUAAAAACAAAUAGAAUGGGAUGGAAUAAAGUUGGAUGAGUAAGCAGGCAUCAAAUCAUUCAGAAACUUGUUGUCCAAGUUGAAGAAUUUGUUUAGUAUUGUAUAAUAAAUGCAGAGGAAGCUAUAUACACUUAUAAUUUACAUUUUUUAAAGGCCACGUUGUAGCUCAAUCGGAUAGUUUGUCUUUUGAUGGGAUGUAGUAUACAGUAUCAUCAUGGUAUAUUCCAGGCAAAAAUAUUUAACUUGAAUCUGUCAAGCCUUUGCAUCUAACACAGUUUAUAAAAAAUACAACAGAUAGAUGAACAAACUAAAUGAUGCCAGAGGAAGUAACUAGACAGAUCCAGAAGGUGAAACAUUCUGCAGGAUAACUGGCCCAUCUCUUCAACAAUUUGUCAUGAUAAAAGCAACUGCUUUAUGAAAAGAAAUUUAAGGGACAUAACAGUUUGAAUUGGAUCCUGGUUUGAACAGACUGUCUAUAAAAUGCAUUUUCAGGACCAUUAAAGAAAUAUGAAUGUAGAUGGACUGAGUAUUGGAUAAAAUAGAACUGUAUUGCCAUGGAAAAGAUCAUUAACUGAAAAGAGCAAGUCACGAAAUAGUAUGUUACAGCAUCUCAUUUUGGUUUAAAAAUGCACAUAUAUGUAUUUAUGUACAACUAAAAAAAUAGUGGGCUUAUACCCUAAGGUGUUAGUAUUGGUAAUCUUUGGAAGUGGAAAUGUGUAUUUUUUUCUUUGUGUUUGCCUAUCUUUUUCAUUGUAACUUUUGCAGCACAUAGACUACUUUCAUUAUAGUAAAAGUUUAUUUUACCACAAUUUUUUUUUUUUUAGAAAGAGUCUCACUCUGUCACCCAGGCUGGAGUGCAGUGGCACAAUCUCAGCCCACUGCAACCUCCACCUCCCAGGUUCAAGCUAUUCUCCUGCCUCAGCCUUCUGAGUAGCUGGGACUACAGGUGCACACCACAUGCCUGGCUAAUUUUUGUAUUUUUAAUAGAGACUGGAUUUCGCGAUGUUGGCCCGGCUGGUCUCGAACUCCUGGCCUCAAGUGAUCCACCCGCUUUAGCCUCCCAAAGUGCUGGGAUUACAGGCGUGAGCCACUGCACCCGGCCUAUUUUACCACAAUUUAUAAAAAUUUUUGUUUAUUUUAAUUAAGCUAUUCUAUGUUAAAAUAAGUAGCCACCCUUGGCUGAUGCAUAAAGAAAAAAUUAGAGGAAGGAAAGAAUGGAGGCAAGGAGGCAAAUCAUGAGACCAUUUCAGAAAUCAAGACGAAAUCAGGAAAGCUAACAUUAGCAAGAGUGAACCAAACUGAUAAUAUCUUUGAGUUUAAAACUGAAGAAUUUACCAAUGAACUGCAUAGGAAAGUAAAGAAAAGAGAGUGGUCAAGAUAGGUCCUGGUUUUGGGGCCUGAACAUCUGAGUGGUUAGUAGAAUCAUUACCAGUUGAUAACCCAUGGAAGAGGGUGGGGGAUGGGUGGUGUCUUGUAGGUUGGUUGACAGGACUGACCCAUUGGGAAGAUAACGAAGAAGCAAAGUAUAUGAAAAGAGGAGAAAGGGUAACCAGAGGAGGGAGGAUACAAAGGGAGUGAUUAGCCAUCAGAAAGAUGAGGGACAUGACAUUUGUUGAGGCAGAUGGCGGAGAAAAGAAAGUUAACAUAGAUGUGGUUAGUUUUGUGGCAUUGACCAAAGGAAGAUUAAGGUGAUACUAUCUGAUGGCUUGGAAUGAAAACCAAACUCCCUGCCACAACAUGAUGAUCUUUCUCUGCAACUUCAUAUUUUGCCUCUUGUUCCUCAUUUGUUACCACUGAGUCACAAUGGUCUUUUUAGUUUCUCAAACACACCAAGAUCUUUCUUGCCUCAUGUGACCUAGAAUGUUUUCUCCCUUUCUUCAUAUCUCAGUUGAAAGGUCUCCUCUCCUCAUCAUCAUACUAUCUAAAGUAGAUUCCCUCCCUUGUUAACCUCUAGCGCAGCCAUUAGUUCCUUCAUAACACUUACCCUAACUUGCAAGUAUUUUGUUUGUUGAUAUAAUUUUUAUCUGACUUCCCCACUAAAAUGUAAGCUCCAUGAGGGCAAAAAUUGUGUGUUUUGUAUACUGAUGCAUCUCUAGCACUUGGUAUAGCAGGCAUUCAAUAAAUAUCAUUAAAUAAGUUUCACCCUUGUAAAAAAAAAAAAUAUAUAUAUAUAAAAUAUAUUCUCUACUUCCAAAAUAACACACUUUCACCAACAACAAGCACUCCAGCUAAUUAGGCAAUAGGCCAAUAAGCAAAGAAUUAUGGUAUAUUAGUCAAGAUUGGCUAGCUUAUGUUCUGACAAUAAACAAUUUCAAAAUCUCAGUUUCAAUUUUAAACUCAAAGAUACUAAUAAACAUUUGUUCUUUGCUCACACAAAGUCUAAUAUGGAACAGGCUUAGAGUUGUCCUCCAACCAGUGUCUGAGCAAUCCAGACCACUUUGAUCUUGUAACUCUGCCAUCCCAACAUGAGAUUCCACUUUCACUGCAGAAGAGGAAAUCUGUAGCAUCAUGCAGCAGCUUGUCACUACCUCAGCCCUCCUACUUCCACUUGCAUUUCACUAGCUAGAACCUUUCACAUGGCUCCACCAAACUGCAAUGGGACUGGGAAGGGAGAAUCAGAUAUUAGGGAGCAUUUAUAAUGCCUUCCAAGGGUGUGUUUCACUGCUUCCAAACUUGCUUAUGAUGAUGUUUUUCAUUUAUGUAAUGAAAUGCCAUAUGUUCUUAGUGUGUAUUCUCAGCAUAACGAGUACAUUUGGAGAAUAUUAAGUCAGUGGACUUUCCUUCUUGAAAAUUCCUGGUUCUGGGCCUAUCAUUAACCCCACUGAUUGAACCAGUGGAAAUAGUUGCCUCUUCGAAUGGAGAGAACCCUGCUGAAGGCAGCUUUGAGUUUCAAAAUAGUGUGUUUCAAGUCCACAUGGAGACGAUAGCCUGAAAGUAAGCACUUAUGAUUUUUGGAGGAGUCUUUGUUAUUAAGGAGAAAAGAGGCUUACAGAAGUCAGAUUCAGAAGACUGUAGUAUUUUUACAAUAAAUGAGAGUAAACAGUAUAAGGAUUUGAUGUAAGGGAAGUUCCUGCAGUGCAAGAAAGAAAGUCCUUUUGGUGCUGAGCGGAACAGUCUAAGAGAGAAAAGGUGAAGAACAAAAGGAAAAUGUAAAUGUGGUAUUCACACUUCCCUACUCCACACUCAGGAUAAACCUAGAGUAUGAGGUAGAGGCGGGAAUCUAGAGGGGAGGAAGCAUAGAAUAGGAACACCCAAAUAGACUUGAUGAAACAAAAAACAUCAAGGAUGGCUCCCGUGUCACCUGGGAAGACACACUUCAUGUAAGGAAUGGAAAAAAGGCAAUGGUAAGGGACAGGGGCCCUGGAUUUUUUACAACAUGCGAUAGAGAACUAUUUGUCUCCUUAAUUUAUUUAACUUUAAAAAAUAAUAAUGAAUGAAAGAAAAAUUACCCAUUUUUCAAAUAUGGGUGUGUAAGUUUUUUCCACUUUGUACAAAAAAUUUUAAAGAAACGAAAACUGCUGAACACCUUAUAUUCAGAAUUACUCCCUGUAUAAGCCCAUUCCAAUUCCAUAUACUGCUGAUUAAAUUUCCAUCAGUUGGCAGUUCUCUAAUAUCAGUUUCACUGCUAUUUAACUAACUACUGCCCUUUGCUACCAGUGUCUCUCUUGGAUGAGAGUCACUUUACUUGAAUAAGAUAACUUCUGAGAAUAAAUCUAUGCACUAUUUUGGAAGAAUUGCUCUAUAGAGUAAAAAAUAAUUCUGGAUAAUUGAAAGUUAUCUUGUGAGUAUCUGGACAUUAAGGAUACAUUUCAAGACUCCUGUUUUCACUAAAAUCCAAUAUUUGUUUAAGCACUUCAAGUUAAAGAGGAGCACCUUCCCCUUUCACCCUGACUAUCGUUGUUAAUUCGUUUUUGAAGCUAUAUAAGAACGUUUCUUUAAUCGGUUUUCCCUUAGGCAUACAUUAGCUCUCUGUUCAAGACUUAGUAGCAGAGAGUAGUAAGUAAAUGGUUAUUAGUGGUUCUUCAUAUAAAACACAUUUGAGUUUCUUAGAAGAAAACUAUGCAUAAAGAUUACUUUCAGAUAUCAUGUCUGUAGUUCGUUAAUAGAGAAGUUUCUCUGAACGUGUGGAACACUGUAAUAAGAUAAAUAAAUUUUUAAAAAGAAAAAGUAAGCAUAUAUACAAA